Molecule: non-coding RNA, 84 nt
Filed under: Niallia circulans
Lineage: Bacteria; Bacillati; Bacillota; Bacilli; Caryophanales; Bacillaceae
Description: Bacillus circulans ZTP sequence
Rfam family: ZMP/ZTP riboswitch aptamer (pfl RNA motif)
About the family: Previously known as pfl RNA.
Source: Rfam by way of RNAcentral
UCAAUACAUAGUGACUGACGACAUAAAUGGAAAUAACCAUAUGGGAGCUGUGUAUAUGUAUAGCCGGUCGUCUGGGCAGAAGGG